This 450-nucleotide ribosomal RNA is filed under the name uncultured bacterium. RNAcentral's name for it is "partial 16S ribosomal RNA". It matches the Rfam family "Bacterial small subunit ribosomal RNA", at positions 354 to 796 of the family's 1533-position model. The record is from RNAcentral.
GUGGGGAAUCUUCCGCAAUGGACGAAAGUCUGACGGAGCAACGCCGCGUGAGUGAAGAAGGUUUUCGGAUCGUAAAGCUCUUUCGUUAGGGACGAACGUUCUCUUUGUGAAUAAUGAGGAGUAAUGACGGUACCUAAAUAGGAAGCCACGGCUAACUACGUGCCAGCAGCCGCGGUAAUACGUAGGUGGCAAGCGUUGUCCGGAAUUAUUGGGCGUAAAGCGCGCGCAGGCGGGAUAUCAAGUCUGUAUUAAAAGUGCGGGGCUCAACCUCGUGAGGGGACAGAAACUGGUAUUCUUGAGUGUCGGAGAGGUAAGUGGAAUUCCAAGUGUAGCGGUGAAAUGCGUAGAGAUUUGGAAGAACACCAGUGGCGAAGGCGACUUUCUGGACGAUGUCUGACGCUGAGGCGCGAAAGCUAGGGGAGCGAACGGGAUUAGAAACCCUGGUAGUCC